RNAcentral lists this ribosomal RNA (467 nucleotides) under uncultured bacterium. RNAcentral describes it as "partial 16S ribosomal RNA". It matches the Rfam family "Bacterial small subunit ribosomal RNA", at positions 339 to 795 of the family's 1533-position model. The record is from RNAcentral.
CUACGGGAGGCAGCAGUGAGGAAUUUUGCGCAAUGGGGGAAACCCUGACGCAGCGACGCCGCGUGGGUGAUGAAGGCCUUCGGGUCGUAAAGCCCUGUUGAGGGGGAAGAAACUUCCAGAAGAUAAUACCUUCUGGGAUUGACGGUACCCCUUGAGGAAGCACCGGCUAACUCCGUGCCAGCAGCCGCGGUAAUACGGGAGGGUGCGAGGCGUUGUUCGGAAUCACUGGGCGUAAAGCGGGUGUAGGCGGUAUGUUAAGUCAGGUGUGAAAGCCCACGGCUCAACCGGGGAAGUGCACUUGAAACUGGCAAACUUGAGUGCCGAAGAGGGAAGUGGAAUUCCUGGUGUAGGAGUGAAAUCCGUAGAUAUCAGGAGGAACACCGGUGGCGAAGGCGACUUCCUGGACGGUAACUGACGCUAAGACCCGAAAGCGUGGGGAGCAAACAGGAUUAGAUACCCCGGUAGUC